Molecule: long non-coding RNA, 493 nt
Filed under: Pandoravirus neocaledonia
Description: hypothetical ncRNA
Source: RNAcentral
AGGUUUUCUCUGGACCAACCACGAGGCAACGUCUGAGUUUGCGCGCCCAGCAGGUCGGAAUUUGGAAUCGCUGCGAGAGGCCCCCAAUUCCGGUAUGCUCGAGACCACAUAAGCCACGAACAGGAGAAUACACAAAGCGCCCAAACAAGACACGAAAAAGUCUCCUAGUGUUUUUUUGCAUUGCCCCUCUCUGGUAUGCUAGUGUUUGUUUGGCAACUAUAAUUUUUUUUAAUUUGUGUGUGUGUGUGUGUGUGUGUGAUUUUCGUACGAUCCCCUGAGCGCUCUCGUUCAUGCCCACCCGGACAGAGAACCCGCCGGAUGCCUGCUGUCGCGAGCACAACUUUCGCGGUGCAAACGACUUGGCUGCGGUGGGGGGGGCGUUUGGAGGACUCGCAGGAAAAACGGCCCCUGAAGGCGUCUUGAGUUAACUUGGCCGGCAGCGGAUUUCAAUCUGUCAAUUUUUGAUGGGAUAAACGCGCUUUGGUCCUCAGGC